RNAcentral lists this ribosomal RNA (301 nucleotides) under uncultured bacterium. RNAcentral's name for it is "partial 16S ribosomal RNA". It matches the Rfam family "Bacterial small subunit ribosomal RNA", at positions 509 to 809 of the family's 1533-position model. The record is from RNAcentral.
CAGCCGCCGCGGUAAUACAGAGGAUGCAAGCGUUAUCCGGAAUAACUGGGCGUAAAGGGUGCGCAGGUGGUUUAACAAGUUAGUGGUGAAAGGCAUAGGCUCAACCAAUGUAAGCCAUUAAAACUGUUUAACUUGAGUGCAGGAGAGGAAAGUGGAAUUCCUAGUGUAGCGGUGAAAUGCGUAGACAUUAGGAAGAACACCAGUGGCGAAGGCGACUUUCUGGACGAAAACUGACGCUGAGGCGCGAAAGCCAGGGGAGCGAACGGGAUUAGAUACCCGGGUAGUCCCUGUCUCUUAUACA